CAACAGUUCUUCAACUGGCAGCUUUAGCUACUAGACAGGGACUUAAAGCUUGCCACUGAAGAAC
Molecule: microRNA precursor, 64 nt
Filed under: Chelydra serpentina (North American snapping turtle)
Lineage: Eukaryota; Metazoa; Chordata; Testudines; Chelydridae
Description: mir-3600
Source: RNAcentral